Long non-coding RNA from Myotis daubentonii (Daubenton's bat), 3389 nucleotides. RefSeq lists it as uncharacterized. The transcript has 2 exons. The record is from RefSeq and is a predicted model, not a curated record. Lineage: Eukaryota; Metazoa; Chordata; Mammalia; Chiroptera; Vespertilionidae.
UAUAUUUUAUAAAAAAGGAAAAUAGAAGCACAGAGUAACUUGCACAAAGUCACCAAACUAGAGAGUGGCAAAGCUAGGAUUCAAAUCGGGCCGUGUAUUUCAAGAGUCCAAACUCUUACCCACGGGACUCUACUUCACUGCCCUAUUCUCAGUGGAAAAGCCCAUUUUCAAGGUCCAUCUCAAGUGUCAGAUAACAGUCAUGAAGCUUUUCCUGACUUCUUGACCCCUUCCAUAGAUUGCAUUAAUCUUUCCCUUUUCUGAACUCUUGCUAUGCUUUCUCUGCAUUUCUCUUUUGACAUUUAUGUUUGUAGUACGUAUUAUAUUAUUUAUGGCUUUAAAAAAAUCUCUCCUAUUUGACUAAGAGCCUGUGAAGGCAGGAUCCAAAUUUCAUUUGUCUCUGUGCCCUGAACAAUGUCCAGUACAAGAUUUUACACAUGUAAAGGGGAUGGUUGAAUAAAUUAAUGACCGUUUAACAUCUGAAAGUUUGUAUGGGGCAGAAGGAAUGAACUUGUGGAGUGUGGGAAGAAUUAGGAUCAUUGGGAAGAAAUCAUGGGAAGGAAUAUUUUUUGGCUGAUACUGGAAAAAACGAACAUGAUUUCUCAAAAGUGGAAUAGGUUGCUUCCUGAGAGCAUGGAGCACAGAGGCUGUGCCUGGGAAGUACAAGUAACAACUUGAUGGGAAUGUUGUAAGGGGAUUUGCCCAUCUGUUGGCGCCUGAGAUUUGAAGAACACUUAGAUCCUUUCUAAUUCUAUGAUGCUUUGAUCCCUCAGUGGGAUGUGAUUAUUUCUCCUCCUGAAUUCACAUAGUUUUUAAUGGUACACAUGUUAUUCUAUCAUGUGAUUUUUGUUUGCAUGUUUUAAUGCUCUUAAGGAUCUUAACUUAGGUGUUAAGAAUUUGGAUGAAAAUGAAAUGUGAAUAAAUGGAAUUUUAGCCAGGGGACCUCACAUACUCAAACCAUAGCUUGGCUCUUCUUCUACUCUACAAGAGGUUACCAAAAAAACUACAACAAAACAAACAACAACCUCUUAGGAAAAUGGAUGACGAGACCUAAAUCCAAUACUGACUCUAAAAGUCAGUAACCCUAAUAGCUUUUUACCAAAGCAUCUAUGUCACCUAUCAUUGUAUCCUACAGGCCACCCAUCCUCAUUCCUAUUACUUAGAAUUUUGCAUUUUUGCCACUGUGAUGUGAGGGGAGGUAAAUUUUACCGUUAGACUCUAAUGAACAUUCUUCAGUGCCAGGAGAGAUGGAGCACAAGAGAGAGAGUUUAUUCUUACUACCUGUUGUCAGGUAGAGCCAGCUGGGAGCAGAGAAAAGGAUGAUUGUGCCUGUAUAUCCCAUAUUUUAUUUUCUUAUUUUAAUAUCUUACUAUCUGUGUUUUCUUGUUCCAGCUGUUUAUUUCCUUUUUCCAGCCACCUUUUGGAUUUAUUUUAUGAUUCCAUUUUUCUAUGUUUUAUUAUAGUCUAUCUUUAAAUGAUAUUAUACCUCUUCACUAAUAGUAUACUUCCAUCUCCUGUGAGUAUUUCUUUUGCAUACUGGCCAGGUCAAAGUAGAUUUAUAGUUGUGAGUAUGUGAAACAGUUUAUUCUUAUAUUAUUACUAGAGGCCCGAUGCACAAAAUUUGUGCAAGAAUAGGCCUUCCUUCCCCCAGCUGCCGGCACCGGCUUCCCUCUGGCAAGUGGGACCUGGGCUUCCCUCCCAGCCCCAGCUUCAUCUAGAAGGUCACCCGGAAGGACUUCUGGUCUAAUUAGCAUAGUAUAAUUUUAUUACUAUAGAUUUAUUAUUUUCCAUACAAACAGCUGUAAGCCUACUUUUUUUUUUUUUAAUGCUCACCCGAGGAUAUUUUUCCAUUGAUUUUUAGAGAGAGUGGAAGGUAGAGGGAGAGACAGAGGGAAACACCGAUGUGAGAGAGACAUAUCAAUUGGUUGCCUCCUGUAUGCCCCCUACCAAGGCCAGGAGCCUGCAACCACUUUUUGGUAUGUGCCCUUGAUUGGAAUUGAACCCUGGACCCUUCUAUCCACUCCUCUGUCUACUGAGUCAACCCAGCUAGGGCUGUAAGCCUACUUUUGCCAUACCCUACAUGUUAUAAACCCCACAAUGAAUUAUUAUUUUUGUUCAAAAAAUAAUCUUUUAAAGACAUUUAAACAAUAAGAGAAAAAACUUAUAUAUUUACCCAUGUAGUUACUACCUCUCCCAGGGCUCUUCAUUCCUUUGUGUAAAUUCAUAUUCCCAUCUGCUAUUAUUUUUCUUCUGCCUAAAGAACUCCCUUUUACAUUUCUUAGUGGGGAUGUUGCAGUAUGGUGGCAAAUCCUUUCAGCUUUGUAUGUCUGAAAAUGUCAUCAUAUUACUUUUUUUUAACAUGGUAUUUUACAUUUGGUAGCAUUCUAGGUUGAUAAUUUUAUAACUUUUGGAAGAAAAAUCUGCUGUUACAUAAAUACUCAUCUUUCAUUGUAUGCUGAGUCCAUUAAAGCAUUUUGCCCCUUGAAACUCAGCAAAACUUUUUUUUUUUUUUCCCCAAAAAGCCAGGCUCUGCCCAGCCAGCAUGGCUCAGUUCAAUUGAACCAGGAGGUCACAGUUCAAUUCCUGGUCAGGGCACAUGGACUUGAUCCCCAGUGUGAGGUGUGUAGGAGGCAGCUGAUCAAUGAUUCUCUCUGAUCAUUAAUGUUUCUAUCUUAGUCUCUCCUUCUCUCUUCCUCUCUGAAAUCAAUAAAAGUAUAUUUAAUAAUAAAAAAAAGCCAGGCCCCAAUAAUAGAACACAAUGCUAAGGCCUUUAUUUUUUGAAUUAUCUUUCUUGUUGAAAGUAUUACAGAUGCCCCCGUUUACUUCCCAUGGACCCCCUCCACCCCUCAGCUAUUCCCAGUCCCCCCAGGCCUUCACCACACUAUCAUGUGUGUCCAUGGGUUAUGCAUAUAUGCUUAUAAAUUCUUUGGUUAAUCUCUCCCCACCAACCCCCCUAGCCCUGCCUUUCCUCUGAGAUUCAUCAGUCUGUUCCAUGCUUCUAUGUCUCUGGAUCAGUCUUGUUCGUCAGUUUAUUUUGUUCAUUAGAUUCCACAUAUGAGUGAGAUCAUGUGAUACUGUUUUCUCUGAGUGGCUUAUUUUGUUUAGCAUGAUACUCUCCAGGUCCUUCCAUGCUGUCUCAAAGGUACCCAUCAGUAGAUGUGGAUAGAAAAGCUGUGGCCUACUAUGCAGCUGUAAAAAAGAAGACUCUCAUGCUGAGGCCUUUAGAUGUCUAAUUUGAAACUAAAGCUGAAUUGACUUCUUUGUAUUUGGCUGUCUUAAAAGUAUAGGAAAAGUUAUGGGCUCGGGGUAGCAGGAGGAAGAAAAUAUUUCAGGUAACAGACCUUGUAGUGUUUCCAUUCUGUGGUUUUCCAUAGCAUUUAUUACUUAUCUUU